This 74-nucleotide transfer RNA is filed under the name Candidatus Fermentibacterota bacterium. RNAcentral's name for it is "tRNA-Gln". It matches the Rfam family "tRNA". From Rfam's summary of the family: Transfer RNA (tRNA) molecules are approximately 80 nucleotides in length. Their secondary structure includes four short double-helical elements and three loops (D, anti-codon, and T loops). The record is from RNAcentral. RNAcentral also lists the same sequence under 1 other name. Lineage: Bacteria; Pseudomonadati; Candidatus Fermentibacterota.
UGGGGAGUCGUCCAACGGCAGGACACAUGGCUCUGGACCAUGGUAUUGGGGUUCGAAUCCCUGCUCCCCAGCCA